UUCCUGUGUACCUGAGGACUUUACAGGCCUUCUAAAGGGGAUAAAAUAACUUUGCUGGUGCAGGACUACAGACUACCACCAAAACAUCUCAAUGAAUGUAAUGCAAAUGCAACUGCUGUGAGACGUUACAGGGCUAAGCCGCACACUGAGCAAAUGCAAAGCAUCUUCUGCAAUGGCAGUGAUUGAAAAGAGGCUACAGAAGCAGAGAAGUUGGUCCCAAUAACAAGUGAUAGCCCAUGCUACCAGUCAAUGAAUGGAGAACCUAUCGCUGCAAAGCCAUUUGUCUGCACAAAAACUACUGAUUCUGCCAGAGAAUGCUCAGUGGGAAGCUGAGGUCACAUCAGUGCGUCUUUCCACCACUUUAGAAAUUUUACUAUAUGGAUGCUGGUACACACAUCUCAAAGAAAUUACACUUAAUGUAAAAAACAAGAUAUAAAGAUUCUGUUAUCAACAUUAGCUCUCUAUGUAGCACUUUCUGGGGUUCUGUGAUGGCAGAAGAUUGAAUUUCCAUGACAACAUUACAAAAUAUAAUCCUUUUUGGUUCGCUUAAGUUGGUAUUCUUUGCCGAACCCAGCAGGUGCUGCUGGCAACUGUGAAGCUCAAUGCAUACUGAAGUCAAAUGCGAUCUUAACUGUAUAAAGAUUUAGGACGCGAUGCUUAAAUGAUUUUCAGGGUUGCAAUGAGCACUAGCCAAGAAAUCUGUAGUUCUCUCUUGAUUUAUAAUAGUCAAAUAUAAGGGGUAAAAAUGUAAGAUAGCAUGAUUCCAUUUAGUAAUCAGAAUGAAUUCUGGCAUGUAUCUGCAGCUGAAAAUACCACAUGUGACCCUGCUGUUGCUAUCAAGGCUGUUACUAGUAUCAAGCUACAAGUUAAUUACAAGUAUUUGGAUGUGAAGGUUUUUUUUGGAGGAAGAAUAUUUGAGUCUAAUUGAGCUUUGUGUCUAAUUCAAAUAUGCCAUGCAACUUUAGCAUCUUAUUUUCCUACUACAUGUUUGUCAUCGUAGGUUUGUCCUAUGAGACCCAAUCCUUUUCCAUAAAAUUCUCAAAAAAAUCUAUUUUUAAUUCAAAAGAUGAAAACAAAACAAGAGAAUAGAGAAGGAAACCAUGAGUCUCCAGUAUUCAUGUACUUCCAUUAAAUAAAGUAUUAAAAAUUUAUCAGAAAAAAAAACAACACCCUUUGCCAUCAGUUCCUAAAAUCAGGCUGCUAAUAUUUAAAAAAUAUAUGUGAAACUUUCUACAGGGUUUCACCCAGCAUAACCUAAACCUGAAAUCUGUUAAAUCUGACAUCUGUUUCCUAUUGCAUGAUGCACUGAGUCAAACUUCCACAGUCUUGGGGAUGAUGCAGGAAAGUGUAGGGGAAAAAAAAAAGCCUUUCUGUAUUAGAUUGUCAGCAAUUACUUUGAAUUAUGUUCUUUUCCGAGGAUAAGUCAAAUUCAUAAUGUAUGUGUUAUGAUUUUUGCUAUGAAGUAUUUAUUAAAGUUUUGCUGAUUGAGAACGCUUUUGACAGAGCUAUCACCUAAACUUCAGCUAAAGACAGUGUUUCAAAACAGCUAUGAACACUAAAGAUCAUAAAUUAUUUGUAGCAAAAAAGAACUUUGCAUCCUAAUCUCUAUCUCAACUCCUGCUGAUAGAGUCAUCCGUGAGCUCACUACUACUGGGCACUGCAUGCACUCCUUGCUGGGCCACAGAGCCCAACA
Non-coding RNA from Coturnix japonica (Japanese quail), 1693 nucleotides. Lineage: Eukaryota; Metazoa; Chordata; Aves; Galliformes; Phasianidae. The record is from RefSeq and is a predicted model, not a curated record.